GAAUAGAUGAAUACAGAGUAAGAAAGAGAGAGAGUUUGCUGUAUCAAGAAUAUUCAAGUAGAAUAAUUAGCUGUGGCAUAAGCAAAACAAUAAACAUAACUGUUUCUUGAAAUCUCAUCUGAUACUGUGGGAUGCUGUUCCUAAAGCACUACUGAACAGUAACCUCUGUUACUCAGAAACCCAAGAAAAACCCAAAAGCCAUGUAUUGGGGCAAAUUAAAACCACAGAAUAAAUUAUUUUCCUAAUAAUGAGGAUAUUGUUUUCCUCUGCCAACUCCUUCCCAGAGCACCACUUUAUUUGCCAGUUUGAACAAAGCAAC
This 319-nucleotide long non-coding RNA is filed under the name Bos taurus (domestic cattle). Its description in RNAcentral is "long non-coding RNA NONBTAT017073". Lineage: Eukaryota; Metazoa; Chordata; Mammalia; Artiodactyla; Bovidae. The record is from RNAcentral.